RNAcentral lists this ribosomal RNA (406 nucleotides) under uncultured bacterium. Its description in RNAcentral is "partial 16S ribosomal RNA". It matches the Rfam family "Bacterial small subunit ribosomal RNA", at positions 30 to 526 of the family's 1533-position model. The record is from RNAcentral.
AUUGACCGCUGGCGGCAGGCCUAACACAUGCAAGUCGAACGAGUGGCGGACGGGUGAGUAAUGUCUGGGAAACUGCCUGAUGGAGGGGUAUAACUACUGGAAACGGUAUCUAAUACCGCAUACCAUCGGAUGUGCCCAGAUGGGAUUAGCUAGUAGGUGGGGUAAAGGUUCACCUAGGCGACGAUCCCUAGCUGGUCUGAGAGGAUGAACAGCCGCACUGGAACUGAGACACGGUCCAGACGCCUACGAGAGGCAGCAGUGGGGGAUAUUGCGCAAUGGGCGCAAGCCUGGUGCAGCCGUGCCGCGUGUAUGGAGAAGGCCUUCGGGUUGUAAAGUACUUUCAGCGGGGAGGCGUUACCCGCAGAAGAAGCACCGGCUAACUCCGUGCCAGCCGCCGCGGUAAUUC